UGAGGAACAUGACCUUCGGCGGGGGAUAGCCGGCCCAACGGCCGGGUAAUACCGCGUACGACCUUUCGGGGACAUCCCUGGAUGGUGAAAGCAGCAAUGCGCCGAUGGAGUGCCUCGCGGCCUAUCAGCUAGUUGGUGAGGUAACGGCUCACCAAGGCGACGACGGGUANCUGGUCUGAGAGGAUGGCCCAGCCACAGUUGGGGACUGAGACCACGGCCCAGACCUCCGUAACGGGGAGCA
RNAcentral lists this ribosomal RNA (241 nucleotides) under uncultured bacterium. Its description in RNAcentral is "partial 16S ribosomal RNA". It matches the Rfam family "Bacterial small subunit ribosomal RNA", at positions 118 to 350 of the family's 1533-position model. The record is from RNAcentral.